UACAGAGGGGGCAAGCGUUGUUCGGAAUUACUGGGCGUAAAGGGCGCGUAGGCGGCCCGCUAAGUCGAACGUGAAAUCCCCGAGCUCAACUCGGGAACUGCGUCCGAUACUGGCGGGCUUGAAUCCGGGAGAGGGAUGCGGAAUUCCAGGUGUAGCGGUGAAAUGCGUAGAUAUCGGAAGGAACAUCAGUGGCGAAAGCGACUUCCUGGACCAAUACUGACGCUCAUGUGCGAAAGCGUGGGGAGCAAACAGG
This 253-nucleotide ribosomal RNA is filed under the name uncultured bacterium. RNAcentral's name for it is "partial 16S ribosomal RNA". It matches the Rfam family "Bacterial small subunit ribosomal RNA", at positions 524 to 776 of the family's 1533-position model. The record is from RNAcentral.